This 74-nucleotide transfer RNA is filed under the name Smithella sp. SDB. RNAcentral describes it as "tRNA-Gln". It matches the Rfam family "tRNA". Rfam says of the family: Transfer RNA (tRNA) molecules are approximately 80 nucleotides in length. The record is from RNAcentral. RNAcentral also lists the same sequence under 5 other names. Lineage: Bacteria; Pseudomonadati; Thermodesulfobacteriota; Syntrophia; Syntrophales; Smithellaceae.
UGGGGAAUCGUUCAAUGGUAGGACACCGGACUCUGACUCCGUGAAUCAAGGUUCGAAUCCUUGUUCCCCAGCCA